RNAcentral lists this ribosomal RNA (549 nucleotides) under uncultured bacterium. RNAcentral's name for it is "bacterial SSU rRNA". It matches the Rfam family "Bacterial small subunit ribosomal RNA", at positions 355 to 895 of the family's 1533-position model. The record is from RNAcentral.
UAGGGAAUCUUCGGCAAUGGACGGAAGUCUGACCGAGCAACGCCGCGUGAGUGAAGAAGGUUUUCGGAUCGUAAAGCUCUGUUGUAAGAGAAGAACGAGUGUGAGAGUGGAAAGUUCACACUGUGACGGUAUCUUACCAGAAAGGGACGGCUAACUACGUGCCAGCAGCCGCGGUAAUACGUAGGUCCCGAGCGUUGUCCGGAUUUAUUGGGCGUAAAGCGAGCGCAGGCGGUUAGAUAAGUCUGAAGUUAAAGGCUGUGGCUUAACCAUAGUACGCUUUGGAAACUGUUUAACUUGAGUGCAAGAGGGGAGAGUGGAAUUCCAUGUGUAGCGGUGAAAUGCGUAGAUAUAUGGAGGAACACCGGUGGCGAAAGCGGCUCUCUGGCUUGUAACUGACGCUGAGGCUCGAAAGCGUGGGGAGCAAACAGGAUUAGAUACCCUGGUAGUCCACGCCGUAAACGAUGAGUGCUAGGUGUUAGACCCUUUCCGGGGUUUAGUGCCGCAGCUAACGCAUUAAGCACUCCGCCUGGGGAGUACGACCGCAAGGNU